This 377-nucleotide ribosomal RNA is filed under the name uncultured Ehrlichia sp. Its description in RNAcentral is "bacterial SSU rRNA". It matches the Rfam family "Bacterial small subunit ribosomal RNA", at positions 75 to 484 of the family's 1533-position model. Lineage: Bacteria; Pseudomonadati; Pseudomonadota; Alphaproteobacteria; Rickettsiales; Anaplasmataceae. The record is from RNAcentral.
UUUGGUUAUAAAUAAUUGUUAGUGGCAGACGGGUGAGUAAUGCGUAGGAAUCUACCUAGUAGUAUGGAAUAGCCAUUAGAAAUGAUGGGUAAUACUGUAUAAUCCCUGCGGGGGAAAGAUUUAUCGCUAUUAGAUGAGCCUACGUUAGAUUAGCUAGUUGGUAAGGUAAUGGCUUACCAAGGCUAUGAUCUAUAGCUGGUCUGAGAGGACGAUCUGCCACACUGGAACUGAGAUACGGUCCAGACUCCUACGGGAGGCAGCAGUGGGGAAUAUUGGACAAUGGGCGAAAGCCCUGAUCCAGCUAAUGCCGCGUGAGUGAAGAAGGCCUUCGGGUUGUAAAACUCUUUCAAUAGGGAAGAUAAUGACGGUACCUAUAA